This 464-nucleotide ribosomal RNA is filed under the name uncultured bacterium. RNAcentral's name for it is "partial 16S ribosomal RNA". It matches the Rfam family "Bacterial small subunit ribosomal RNA", at positions 339 to 795 of the family's 1533-position model. The record is from RNAcentral.
CUACGGGCGGCAGCAGUGGGGAAUAUUGCACAGUGGGCGCAAGCCUGAUGCAGCCACGCCGCGUGUAUGAAGAAGGCCUUCGGGUUGUAAAGUACUUUCAGCGGGGAGGAAGGGAGUAAAGUUAAUACCUUUGCUCAUUGACGUUACCCGCAGAAGAAGCACCGGCUAACUCCGUGCCAGCAGCCGCGGUAAUACGGAGGGUGCAAGCGUUAAUCGGAAUUACUGGGCGUAAAGCGCACGCAGGCGGUUUGUUAAGUCGGAUGUGAAAUCCCCGGGCUCAACCUGGGAACUGCAUCUGAUACUGGCAAGCUUGAGUCUCGUAGAGGGGGGUAGAAUUCCAGGUGUAGCGGUGAAAUGCGUAGAGAUCUGGAGGAAUACCGGUGGCGAAGGCGGCCCCCUGGACGAAGACUGACGCUCAGGUGCGAAAGCGUGGGGAGCAAACAGGAUUAGAUACCCGUGUAGUC